This 137-nucleotide ribosomal RNA is filed under the name Neogale vison (American mink). Lineage: Eukaryota; Metazoa; Chordata; Mammalia; Carnivora; Mustelidae. The record is from RNAcentral.
GUCUACGGCCAUACCACCCUGAACGCGCCCGAUCUCGUCUGAUCUCGGAAGCUAAGCAGGGUCGGGCCUGGUUAGUACUUGGAUGGGAGAAAAUGUUCAGCUAGGGGAGAGAGUUCCCAGUUAAGGUUUGGUAGCUU